RNAcentral lists this ribosomal RNA (490 nucleotides) under uncultured bacterium. Its description in RNAcentral is "partial 16S ribosomal RNA". It matches the Rfam family "Bacterial small subunit ribosomal RNA", at positions 28 to 507 of the family's 1533-position model. The record is from RNAcentral.
GAUGAACGCUAGCUACAGGCUUAACACAUGCAAGUCGAGGGGCAGCGGGAUUGAAGCUUGCUUCAAUUGCCGGCGACCGGCGCACGGGUGAGUAACGCGUAUCCAACCUUCCGUACACUCAGGGAUAGCCUUUCGAAAGGAAGAUUAAUACCUGAUGGUAUGAUGAGAUUGCAUGAUAUCAUCAUUAAAGAUUUAUCGGUGUACGAUGGGGAUGCGUUCCAUUAGGUAGUAGGCGGGGUAACGGCCCACCUAGCCAACGAUGGAUAGGGGUUCUGAGAGGAAGGUCCCCCACAUUGGAACUGAGACACGGUCCAAACUCCUACGGGAGGCAGCAGUGAGGAAUAUUGGUCAAUGGACGAGAGUCUGAACCAGCCAAGUAGCGUGAAGGAUGAAGGUCCUACGGAUUGUAAACUUCUUUUAUAAGGGAAUAAACCCUCCCACGUGUGGGAGCUUGUAUGUACCUUAUGAAUAAGCAUCGGCUAACUCCGUG